RNAcentral lists this ribosomal RNA (2902 nucleotides) under Klebsiella pneumoniae. RNAcentral's name for it is "23S ribosomal RNA". It matches the Rfam family "Bacterial large subunit ribosomal RNA". Lineage: Bacteria; Pseudomonadati; Pseudomonadota; Gammaproteobacteria; Enterobacterales; Enterobacteriaceae. The record is from RNAcentral.
GGUUAAGCGACUAAGCGUACACGGUGGAUGCCCUGGCAGUCAGAGGCGAUGAAGGACGUGCUAAUCUGCGAAAAGCGUCGGUAAGGUGAUAUGAACCGUUAUAACCGGCGAUGUCCGAAUGGGGAAACCCAGUGCAAUUCGUUGCACUAUCGUUAACUGAAUACAUAGGUUAACGAGGCGAACCGGGGGAACUGAAACAUCUAAGUACCCCGAGGAAAAGAAAUCAACCGAGAUUCCCCCAGUAGCGGCGAGCGAACGGGGAGCAGCCCAGAGUCUGAAUCAGCUUGUGUGUUAGUGGAACGGUCUGGAAAGUCCGACGGUACAGGGUGAUAGUCCCGUACACCAAAAUGCACAGGCUGUGAACUCGAAGAGUAGGGCGGGACACGUGGUAUCCUGUCUGAAUAUGGGGGGACCAUCCUCCAAGGCUAAAUACUCCUGACUGACCGAUAGUGAACCAGUACCGUGAGGGAAAGGCGAAAAGAACCCCGGCGAGGGGAGUGAAAAAGAACCUGAAACCGUGUACGUACAAGCAGUGGGAGCACCUUCGGGUGUGACUGCGUACCUUUUGUAUAAUGGGUCAGCGACUUAUAUUCUGUAGCAAGGUUAACCGUAUAGGGGAGCCGCAGGGAAACCGAGUCUUAACUGGGCGUUAAGUUGCAGGGUAUAGACCCGAAACCCGGUGAUCUAGCCAUGGGCAGGUUGAAGGUUGGGUAACACUAACUGGAGGACCGAACCGACUAAUGUUGAAAAAUUAGCGGAUGACUUGUGGCUGGGGGUGAAAGGCCAAUCAAACCGGGAGAUAGCUGGUUCUCCCCGAAAGCUAUUUAGGUAGCGCCUCGUGAAUUCAUCUUCGGGGGUAGAGCACUGUUUCGGCUAGGGGGUCAUCCCGACUUACCAACCCGAUGCAAACUACGAAUACCGAAGAAUGUUAUCACGGGAGACACACGGCGGGUGCUAACGUCCGUCGUGAAGAGGGAAACAACCCAGACCGCCAGCUAAGGUCCCAAAGUCAUGGUUAAGUGGGAAACGAUGUGGGAAGGCACAGACAGCCAGGAUGUUGGCUUAGAAGCAGCCAUCAUUUAAAGAAAGCGUAAUAGCUCACUGGUCGAGUCGGCCUGCGCGGAAGAUGUAACGGGGCUAAACCAUGCACCGAAGCUGCGGCAGCGACACUAUGUGUUGUUGGGUAGGGGAGCGUUCUGUAAGCCUGCGAAGGUGUGCUGUGAGGCAUGCUGGAGGUAUCAGAAGUGCGAAUGCUGACAUAAGUAACGAUAAAGCGGGUGAAAAGCCCGCUCGCCGGAAGACCAAGGGUUCCUGUCCAACGUUAAUCGGGGCAGGGUGAGUCGACCCCUAAGGCGAGGCCGAAAGGCGUAGUCGAUGGGAAACAGGUUAAUAUUCCUGUACUUGGUGUUACUGCGAAGGGGGGACGGAGAAGGCUAUGUUAGCCGGGCGACGGUUGUCCCGGUUUAAGCAUGUAGGCUGGUUAUCCAGGCAAAUCCGGAUAAUCAAGGCUGAGGUGUGAUGACGAGGCACUACGGUGCUGAAGUAACAAAUGCCCUGCUUCCAGGAAAAGCCUCUAAGCAUCAGGUAACAUCAAAUCGUACCCCAAACCGACACAGGUGGUCAGGUAGAGAAUACCAAGGCGCUUGAGAGAACUCGGGUGAAGGAACUAGGCAAAAUGGUGCCGUAACUUCGGGAGAAGGCACGCUGGUGUGUAGGUGAAGUCCCUGCGGAUGGAGCUGAGACCAGUCGAAGAUACCAGCUGGCUGCAACUGUUUAUUAAAAACACAGCACUGUGCAAACACGAAAGUGGACGUAUACGGUGUGACGCCUGCCCGGUGCCGGAAGGUUAAUUGAUGGGGUUAUCCGUAAGGAGAAGCUCUUGAUCGAAGCCCCGGUAAACGGCGGCCGUAACUAUAACGGUCCUAAGGUAGCGAAAUUCCUUGUCGGGUAAGUUCCGACCUGCACGAAUGGCGUAAUGAUGGCCAGGCUGUCUCCACCCGAGACUCAGUGAAAUUGAACUCGCUGUGAAGAUGCAGUGUACCCGCGGCAAGACGGAAAGACCCCGUGAACCUUUACUAUAGCUUGACACUGAACAUUGAGCCUUGAUGUGUAGGAUAGGUGGGAGGCUUUGAAGCGUGGACGCCAGUCUGCGUGGAGCCAACCUUGAAAUACCACCCUUUAAUGUUUGAUGUUCUAACGUUGGCCCCUGACCGGGGUUGCGGACAGUGUCUGGUGGGUAGUUUGACUGGGGCGGUCUCCUCCCAAAGCGUAACGGAGGAGCACGAAGGUUAGCUAAUCCUGGUCGGACAUCAGGAGGUUAGUGCAAUGGCAUAAGCUAGCUUGACUGCGAGCGUGACGGCGCGAGCAGGUGCGAAAGCAGGUCAUAGUGAUCCGGUGGUUCUGAAUGGAAGGGCCAUCGCUCAACGGAUAAAAGGUACUCCGGGGAUAACAGGCUGAUACCGCCCAAGAGUUCAUAUCGACGGCGGUGUUUGGCACCUCGAUGUCGGCUCAUCACAUCCUGGGGCUGAAGUAGGUCCCAAGGGUAUGGCUGUUCGCCAUUUAAAGUGGUACGCGAGCUGGGUUUAGAACGUCGUGAGACAGUUCGGUCCCUAUCUGCCGUGGGCGCUGGAGAAUUGAGGGGGGCUGCUCCUAGUACGAGAGGACCGGAGUGGACGCAUCACUGGUGUUCGGGUUGUCAUGCCAAUGGCACUGCCCGGUAGCUAAAUGCGGAAGAGAUAAGUGCUGAAAGCAUCUAAGCACGAAACUUGCCCCGAGAUGAGUUCUCCCUGAGACUUUAAGUCUCCUGAAGGAACGUUGAAGACGAUGACGUUGAUAGGCCGGGUGUGUAAGCGCAGCGAUGCGUUGAGCUAACCGGUACUAAUGAACCGUGAGGCUUAACCUU